GAUGAACGCUGGCGGCGUGCCUAAUACAUGCAAGUCGAGCGAACGGACGAGAAGCUUGCUUCUCUGAUGUUAGCGGCGGACGGGUGAGUAACACGUGGAUAACCUACCUAUAAGACUGGGAUAACUUCGGGAAACCGGAGCUAAUACCGGAUGAUAUUUUGAACCGCAUGGUUCAAAAGUGAAAGACGGUCUUGCUGUCACUUAUAGAUGGAUCCGCGCUGCAUUAGCUAGUUGGUAAGGUAACGGCUUACCAAGGCAACGAUGCAUAGCCGACCUGAGAGGGUGAUCGGCCACACUGGAACUGAGACACGGUCCAGACUCCUACGGGAGGCAGCAGUAUGGAAUCUUCCGCAAUGGGCGAAAGCCUGACGGAGCAACGCCGCGUGAGUGAUGAAGGUCUUCGGAUCUUAGAACUCUGUUAUUAGGGAAGAACAUAUGUGUAAGUAACUGUGCACAUCUUGACGAUACCUAAUCAGAAAGCCACGGCUAACUACGUG
Molecule: ribosomal RNA, 497 nt
Filed under: uncultured bacterium
Lineage: Bacteria
Description: partial 16S ribosomal RNA
Rfam family: Bacterial small subunit ribosomal RNA
Source: RNAcentral